UCUCCGUUGGUGAACCAGCGGAGGGGUCAUUACAGAGUUGCAAAACUCCCAAACCAUUGUGAACGUUACCUAUCCCGUUGCUUCGGCGGGCGGCCCGGGCCCCGCGCCCGGCGCCCCCCGGCCCCCCGUGGGCGCCCGCCGGAGGUAAACCAAACCCUUGAAUUGCAUGGCCUCUCUGAGUCUUCGGUACUGAAUAAGUCAAAACUUUCAACAACGGGUCUCUUGGUUCUG
RNAcentral lists this unclassified non-coding RNA (231 nucleotides) under plant metagenome. Its description in RNAcentral is "partial contains small subunit ribosomal RNA, internal transcribed spacer 1, and 5.8S ribosomal RNA". The record is from RNAcentral.